GUGAGGGGCUGGGCGAAAGAAGGGAGGGGAGAGGAUGGGGAAACGCGCGCCCCAAGAGCGAAAGCAAACAGCCAGCUAGGGAGGCGCUGCCGGCAGCUCAAGCUUCCCAACAGGUUAGCUAGACUGGGAUCCACCCGGUAUUUCGCAGGAAGGGGGGGGUCGGGGGGGGGAGAGACGGAGCGAGAGGAAGAGAGAGCCUAACUGGAAGACAGAGGGAGGGAGGGAAAGAG
This is an unclassified non-coding RNA of Dipodomys ordii (Ord's kangaroo rat), 230 nucleotides long. Ensembl annotates it as predicted gene, 27801. The record is from Ensembl. Lineage: Eukaryota; Metazoa; Chordata; Mammalia; Rodentia; Heteromyidae.